RNAcentral lists this unclassified non-coding RNA (267 nucleotides) under Glomeraceae sp. RNAcentral's name for it is "partial contains 5.8S ribosomal RNA and internal transcribed spacer 2". The stretch from base 1 to 72 matches the Rfam family "5.8S ribosomal RNA", at positions 84 to 154 of the family's 154-position model. The record is from RNAcentral. Lineage: Eukaryota; Fungi; Glomeromycota; Glomeromycetes; Glomerales; Glomeraceae.
GUGAAUCAUCGAAUCUUUGAACGCAAAUUGCACUCUCCGGUUUUCCGGGAGAGUAUGCCUGUUUGAGGGUCAGCCUAAAAAAAAUCGACAUUGUUGCUGUUAUUUAAUGGUGACUUUCGUCGGAGAUUGGGUUAUCUUAAACCUUUUUUUUUUUUUUUUUGGUUUAAGCGACUUAAAAUUUUUCUUCACGCUUCCAUGAACGUUUUUAAGGUUUUUUUUUCUUUUUCUUUUAAGGUUUUUCUAUUUUUUUUUUAGCGUUGCCUUCCC